Long non-coding RNA from Lingula anatina, 308 nucleotides. NCBI's taxonomy places the organism in Eukaryota, Metazoa, Brachiopoda, Lingulata, Lingulida, Lingulidae. The record is from RefSeq and is a predicted model, not a curated record.
UUCUUGAGCAGAGUAAAAGCAAAACACUACCUUGCCGUUGGUCGUUGUAGACCUAGCCAAUUCUUCCUUACCAAUAUAUUGUGUGGGAGAAAAUGGCAGGAAGGAAGCUAAAAGCUGGCAGACAAGUUGUUUUGCUGAUGGAAAGCAUGGCUAAAACAGGACAUAGGAAGGUUAUUCCCAGGCCAAAACGUUACUAUGAAAGCAAGAAUUUUCAGACAGUUUUAUUUGACCCAAGAGUUCAGAGGAUGGUCUUUUACCAGCAAAUAAGUAAGUGGGUUGUUGCCAGAAAAUGACAUGGAAAAAUGGAU